UUUCCCCAUCCUCCCUCUCUCUUGAACUCUUUCCUGUGUGAUUCUUCGGACCAUGUUUGAUCCGCCUCUGUUCUUACUACUUAGCUUUGAGACCUUUGAGCUUGAAUGGCAGCCUCUGUUCUUACUACUCUCAAGGCUCUUCUUCUCACCUAAAUUCAUGGCAUUCUGUUGCUGCUGCUGCAGUACUGCUUCUCGCUGGGAGCAGUCGAGAGAGAGAGCCCUUCCUUUCUCUCUCCAUCUCUCUCUCUGGUACCUAAAGAUUCCGUAAAAAAAUCUUCGUUUCUACAAGUUUCUAAUUAGCGGCUAUUCUCUGACUCUUCACUCUUGUGGUCUUGUUGUACUCCGAAGGGGGAUCACACUUCGAAUGUGUUGAUCAAGUACAUACUUCCAAUAGCUUUGCUGCUCGGCUGUCAUGGCUGAAGUCGCCAAACUCGUGGAACUUCUCCACGAAGAGAAGGCGCCCAAAGAUCUCUUAAAGAGGCCUAACUCUGAUUUGAUCAGAGCAGGUCUCGAGAAAUUCUAUUCGAUCAUCAUAGGAGGAAUUGAAGAAAUCGGAGAUGGAAAGUUAGGGCUGGAGACCUGGAACCACUUGCAGAUUCAGGCGGUCGUAUCGGUUGCCAAGUCAAUUGUUUCUGCAACUCGAUCUAUUUCCGUGUGGCCUUCUUGUUUCUUUUUUGUGACAUUGCGAACAGUUGAAAAUGCGGAGCCAAUAAUCGUUGCAAUAUUCCAGAAGUCACUCGAGUUCUCUACUCGUUGUCUGGAGAAAUUGAUGGCUGGAAAUGGUGAUUUUAGUCUUAGAUUACAUUAUUUCCGCUGUGCAAUUCCAACAAUUGGUAUCAGAGCCACACGGUUUUGUUCUGGGAUUCUGCCGGAAUCUGUAUUUGCUGUUCCGGUAAUGCACGUGUUGAAUAUGGUGAGUUCAAGCUCUACCCAGUUCGACAUACUGAAAUUCAACGGAUCCAACUAUGCAAUUUGGAAGCUGAAGAUGCAUGUGUGUUGGAGAAAGAAGAUUGUGCAAUUGCCUUGGAAAGAAAAGAUAAGAAGCCUGCUGAUAUGAAAGGCGAAGAUUUUGAGAAGAAAAACCAGAUAGCCAUGGUUGAUAUUCUUAUUGCUUUAGAAGAUUUAGUUUUAUUCAACGUGUCUGAGGAAACCACUACCAAAUGUUUAUGGGACAAGUUGCGGAAUCUCUACGAGGGGAAAUCGAUGUCCAACAAAAUCUUUCUCCGACGAUAACUCUACAAUCUAAAGAUGAAGGACGGAGCCUCUUUGCAAGUACACUUGAAUGAGUUCAACACUCUCGUAGGCAAAUUAGCAGCUGUAGAGGUGACGCAAUGAUGGUAUGAGGUAGAUCGAAUGAGAGAAACAGCUCUAUCAAAAAUCAAACGAGAUCCAAGUCAAGAAGCAAAAAGAAAGGACUCAAGUGUUGGAAUUGUGGUAAGAAGGGGCACCUUCGAAAAGAUUGUCGGCAACCCAAAGCAGAACAAAAUCGGCCCAACUCUAACAAAUAUUCGGCUUCAAAUAAUUCACAAGGAAACAUCGCAGAAGGAAGUGAUUCAUCAGAAGAUGGUGAGGUACUGUCUAUUGAUUCUUGUGAUAAUUUAAAGCAUGACUGGAUAUUAGAAUAUGGUGCUUCUUUCCAUAUGACGCCAUGUAGAGAUUGGUUCUACACAUUCCAAUCGUGCGAUGGUGGGACUAUUUACAUAGGCGAUAAUAGCACAUGCAAAAUAGUGGGAAUUGGAGACGUUAGAAUUACUAUGUUUGACGGCAUCACUCAUACAAUCUCUGGUGUACGAUAUGUUCCUGAACUGCGAAAGAGUCCUGUCAUUGGAAAAGUUUGAUGAAGACGGUUACAAGUUUUCUGGAGAAAAGGGCCAAUUGAAGAUCAGUAAAAGAGUUAUGGUAAUUGCAAAAGGCAAAUUACAAGGGAAGUUAUACCACUUGAUCGGGGAUACCAUGGUCGGCGAUGCCAUCGUUGCAAAUGCURUGACCGAUUCCGUCAUGAUUUAGCACAGACGUUUGGGUCAUAUGAGCAAGCAAGGACUUAAGGAAAGUAUGGGUAUAUUUAUUCCAACGGAAGAGUGAUAUUUUUUCCUAUUUCAAAAAGUUCAAAGUUCUAGUUGAAAAUCAGAAGGGGAAAAGAAUUAAGUGUCUGAGAACCGAYAAUGGGAAAGAAUAUACCUCGAAAGAAUUUGAAGAUUUUUGCAAUGAGCACGACAUUCUGAGACAAUAUAUAGUUCCACGAACUCCACAACAAAACUGAGUUGCUGAACGAAUGAAUCGUACACUUAUGGAUCGAGCUAGAAGCAUGUUGAGUGCAGCUAAGCUGGAGCAGUACUUUUGGGCAGAAGUAGUCAAUACGGCAUGUUACCUAGUAAAUUCUCCCACUAUGGCACUUGAUUGCAAAAUUCCAGAAGAGGUAUGGUCAGGAACCCUGUUGAUUAUUCUUUCCUACGUACCUUUGGUUGUGAUGUUUAUGCUUGGAUUCCUAAGGAGCAAAGGACCAAGAUAGAGGCAAGGUCCAAAAAGUGUAUUUUUCUUGGCUAUGCAGAAGGUACAAAGGGAUACAGAUUGUGGGAUCCUACUGCCCACAAGAUAGUUGUUAGCAAAGAUGUUGUCUUCAAUGAAGAUUCGAUGCAAAAAGAAUCAAGCUCUAAGACAACAGAGAAAAUUGAAGUAGAAUCUUUUCAAAAGAUUCAAGAGCAACAAAUUGAUACAACUGUUGAUGUACCUGAAGAGCAUGUUGACAAUUUUGAAGGAGAGACUCACGGUGAUCAAGGUCGAUCGAGGAGAGCUACAAGACCUCCUAUCUGGCUUCAGGAUUAUGUAAUAGCUUACGCUUGCAUUACAGAAGAGCACGAGCCUUAUUCAUACCAGUAAGCAUGCAAAUGUCCAAAUGCUUGUCAUUGGCAAAUGGCAAUGGAGGAAGAAAUGGAAACUCUGAAAAAAAAUAAACUUGGGACUUAGUCAAACUACCUAAGAAUCGAAAGGCCAUUGGGUAUAUAUGGGUGUACAAACUCAAAAAGGACACUAACGGGAAUAUCGAAAGAUACAAAGCUCGACUAGUUGUAAAAGGAUAUGCUCAGAAAUCAGGUAUCGACUUCAACGAAAUAUUUUCUCCUAUUAUUUGAUUAAGUACUAUUCGUAUUCUAUCGAGUAUGGCUGCAGUACUUGACUUGGAGAUGGAGCAGUUAGAUGUUAAAACUGCAUUCUUGCAUGGUAAUCUUGAAAAAGAGAUUUAUAUGACUCAACUUGAAGGCUUUGUCGAGAACGACAAAAAUGAUCUGAUUUGUCAGCUGACCAAAUCACUUUACAGUCUAAAACAGGUGCCAAGGUGUUGGUAUAAGCGAUUUGAUUCCUUCAUUGUGAGCUUAGGCUUUAGCAAAUGCGAAACAAAUCAUUGUGCCUACACAUACUUUGGUAAUGAUCACUUCAUCAUUUUGUUGUUAUAUGUUGAUGACAUGUUAGUUGCAGGUACUGAUAAAGGAAGUAUCUCAACACUGAAAGCUCGUUUAGUUAGGGAGUUUGACAUGAAGGAUCUGGGGGCAGUUAAUCAGAUUCUUAGGAUGACGGUAUAUAAGGACAGAAAGAACAGAAAAGUCUGGAUAACUCAAAAGAGUUAUGUUCAAAGGGUCUUGCGACACUUCAACAUGCAGAAUUCCAAACCAGUUAGUAUCCCAUUUCUUGUUGGUUGCAAGUUGUCUUCGGAACAAUCACCUAGCACUGAAUUUGAGAAGAUAGAGAUGUCCCAAUACCAUAUUCAUCAGCAGUAGGGAGCCUUAUGUUUGCCAUGGUGUGCACCAGAAUAGACAUUGCACAAGCAGUGGGAGCAGUCAGUAAGUUUAUGGCAAAUCCAGGAAGAGAUCAUUGGACUGUGGUGAAGAGAAUCCUUUGGUAUUUGAAGGGUACUUUUGAAAUCUCCAUUUGCUAUAGUGGUCAAAGCUUAAAACUAGUUGGUUAUGUGGAUGUAGACUAUACAGGAGAUCGCGAUAAUAAAMAAUCAACUACUGGUUAUGUGUUUUCUUUAGCUAAUGGUGGAGUGAGUUGGGCAUCAAAAUUGCAAUCUAUAGUGGCCUUAUUUACAACAGAAGCAGAAUAUAUGCCAGCUACACAAACAUGCAAAGAAAGUAUUUGGCUAAAGAGGUUGUUUGAUGAAUUCCACAUCAAGAAAGAAGUGGUGAAUAUUCAUUGUAACAGUCAAAGCGCAUUACACUUGGCAAGAAAUCCUGUCUUUCAUGCA
This is a non-coding RNA of Nelumbo nucifera (sacred lotus), 4237 nucleotides long. The record is from RefSeq and is a predicted model, not a curated record. Lineage: Eukaryota; Viridiplantae; Streptophyta; Magnoliopsida; Proteales; Nelumbonaceae.